RNAcentral lists this ribosomal RNA (517 nucleotides) under uncultured bacterium. RNAcentral's name for it is "bacterial SSU rRNA". It matches the Rfam family "Bacterial small subunit ribosomal RNA", at positions 28 to 504 of the family's 1533-position model. The record is from RNAcentral.
GACGAACGCUGGCGUUCGUGCCUAAUACAUGCAAGUCGAGCGAGCUUGCCUAGAUGAUUUUAGUGCUUGCACUAAAUGAAACUAGAUACAAGCGAGCGGCGGACGGGUGAGUAACACGUGGGUAACCUGCCCAAGAGACUGGGAUAACACCUGGAAACAGAUGCUAAUACCGGAUAACAACACUAGACGCAUGUCUAGAGUUUGAAAGAUGGUUCUGCUAUCACUCUUGGAUGGACCUGCGGUGCAUUAGCUAGUUGGUAAGGUAACGGCUUACCAAGGCAAUGAUGCAUAGCCGAGUUGAGAGACUGAUCGGCCACAUUGGGACUGAGACACGGCCCAAACUCCUACGGGAGGCAGCAGUAGGGAAUCUUCCACAAUGGACGAAAGUCUGAUGGAGCAACGCCGCGUGAGUGAAGAAGGGUUUCGGCUCGUAAAGCUCUGUUGGUAGUGAAGAAAGAUAGAGGUAGUAACUGGCCUUUAUUUGACGGUAAUUACUUAGAAAGUCACGGCUAACUAC